This is a non-coding RNA of Phasianus colchicus (ring-necked pheasant), 412 nucleotides long. The record is from RefSeq and is a predicted model, not a curated record. Lineage: Eukaryota; Metazoa; Chordata; Aves; Galliformes; Phasianidae.
AAAAGAAAAAAGUGGAGCCUUUGUUAGGAGGAUAUAGGCUGAGAAAGAACGUGCUGCAGUCACUUCAUCUUUUUAUCUCAUUACUGCCUAUCUUUUGGCUGUUAUUUCUGUAGAAUUGCUAUCUCCAGUGCACAAGAAAGCUGAAAGAAGUAUAAGUCCAAGUUUGGAAGAUACUUCAUAGUCAAAAUUUCCAUUACCUGAAGUCUGACAACUAAUGGCUUGAUGUGAUAAUACUGGCUGCUUUCCAGUACUUCGUUGAUUCUCCAUGUUCUCUUACACUUGAGUGCUGAAGACACCCAGGAGCUGGCUUACACUGUGCCAGUACUACUAGUCUGCAUGCUGGGGGCAAACAGAAGGCAGGAGGAUACUACACACUGUACUAUGAAUAAGUUUGUAAACAAAGACCUUCACC